UACGGAGGGUGCAAGCGUUACUCGGAUUCACUGGGCGUAAAGGGAGCGCAGGCGGAUCGGUGUGUCGGAUGUGAAACCCCGGGGCUCAACCCCGGGACUGCGUCCGAAACUGCCGGUCUAGGGACUCGGAGGGGCUAGUGGAAUUCCUGGUGGAGCAGUGAAAUGCGUAGAUAUCAGGAGGAACACCAACGGCGAAGGCAGCUAGCUGGACGAGAUCCGACGCUCAGGCUCGAAAGUAUGGGGAGCAAAAAGG
This 253-nucleotide ribosomal RNA is filed under the name uncultured bacterium. Its description in RNAcentral is "partial 16S ribosomal RNA". It matches the Rfam family "Bacterial small subunit ribosomal RNA", at positions 524 to 776 of the family's 1533-position model. The record is from RNAcentral.